AAAAUGCGAAGUAAUUCCUAAAAUUUUUCGAAUUCGAAAUAGAAAAUGACUUUCAGUACAUUUCAUAUUCUUCUGUCCCUAUUUGCCAUCUUUAUGGCUGGUAUUUCCGGUGAAUUUAGUGAAGAUGCAACUUGUACACUGGAGUGCGAAGGGAAAACAAUUUCUGAUCUAGUUUGCUACCAGAAUGGACUGGCUAUAUGCUGUGCGCAACAAGGCCCACAACUGAUGCCAGGCAAGGAACCAUUAUUUACACACAACCAUGACAUAUAGGCUUCAAAUUGAUAAGUAAGUAUAAUACAAUUAAUUAGUGUAUAUAAUUGUUUAGAUUAAUAAAACUGUAUAAAUAGGUAAUAUACUACCAAACCUUAUUAAUUCCAAACAGAAUUGACUACUGAAAUAUACAUAAAAUGAAUUUCAAUAUUUUUAAUAUCCUUUUGUUCCUGUUCGUCGCCUUUAUGGCUGGGGUUUCCGGCCAAGACCAUGAUAAGUGUACUGGUAUAGGAGUUUGUUUACCUGAGUGCGAAAACGGGGAGGUUGGUUUUCAUGACUGUCGCAACAAAACAUUACGCUGCUGCAACUUGUAACCAAAUCCAAUAAAUUAAUCUUCUUUGGUUCUCACUGGAAA
Plodia interpunctella (Indianmeal moth) is the source of this 625-nucleotide long non-coding RNA. RefSeq lists it as uncharacterized. The record is from RefSeq and is a predicted model, not a curated record. Lineage: Eukaryota; Metazoa; Arthropoda; Insecta; Lepidoptera; Pyralidae. The transcript has 4 exons.